AUUGAACGCUGGCGGCAGGCCUAACACAUGCAAGUCGAGCGCGAAAGUUCUUCGGAAUGAGUAAAGCGGCGGACGGGUGAGUAAUGCAUGGGAAUCUGCCUGGUAGUGGGGGACAACGUUUCGAAAGGAACGCUAAUACCGCAUACGCCCUACGGGGGAAAGGGGGGGAUCUUCGGACCUCUCGCUAGCAGAUGAGCCCAUGUCAGAUUAGCUUGUUGGUGAGGUAAAGGCUCACCAAGGCGACGAUCUGUAACUGGUCUGAGAGGAUGAUCAGUCACACUGGAACUGAGAAACGGUCCAGACUCCUACGGGAGGCAGCAGUGGGGAAUAUUGGACAAUGGGCGAAAGCCUGAUCCAGCCAUGCCGCGUGUGUGAAGAAGGCCUUAGGGUUGUAAAGCACUUUCAGUGGGGAGAAAGGUUAUUCACCUAAUACGUGAGUAAAUUGAUGUUACCCACAGAAGAAGCACCGGCUAACUCCGUGCCAGCAGCCGCCGCUG
RNAcentral lists this ribosomal RNA (497 nucleotides) under uncultured bacterium. RNAcentral describes it as "partial 16S ribosomal RNA". It matches the Rfam family "Bacterial small subunit ribosomal RNA", at positions 30 to 523 of the family's 1533-position model. The record is from RNAcentral.